AGGAAGACGACAAAGAAGCAGGGGGAGGACGACAAGGAGGAGGGCUGUUGAAGCGCUGCAACCCCUCCUUCUGCUCACCGCGGUACUCCCUGGCCCCGUGGUGCCUUGCUCCCUGGAGAAACCAGAGCAGCCCAGGGGCCGAGACUUUUAUCACGCAGGAGAACCCACACCUUCACCCACCGCCUUCUGGAACGCUGCCCAGGCGGUGGCAAGCCCGGGAUGCCUGUGACGAUGGAGGAGCUCCGCUGGGCAAGGUUGGAGAGUGGAGUGGAGGUUCUUCCUCUUUGGCCCCAGGGGUGCCCGCUCCGAGGUUUCCCCCUCCCAGUCCUAGCUCCGAGCUCCGAGGGACUAACCUCACGAUACAAGGGACUGGCUUUGCGCCAGCAUCCAGCCUGCUGGGUUAAGUGACUUACACGGAGACU
Long non-coding RNA from Cavia porcellus (domestic guinea pig), 422 nucleotides. RefSeq lists it as uncharacterized. NCBI's taxonomy places the organism in Eukaryota, Metazoa, Chordata, Mammalia, Rodentia, Caviidae. The record is from RefSeq and is a predicted model, not a curated record. The transcript has 3 exons.